Molecule: ribosomal RNA, 263 nt
Filed under: uncultured archaeon
Lineage: Archaea
Description: partial 16S ribosomal RNA
Rfam family: Archaeal small subunit ribosomal RNA
Source: RNAcentral
AGACGUCUACAUUAGAUACCCGCGUAGUCCCAGCCGUAAACUAUGCGCGUUAGGUGUAUCGGUGACCACGAGUUACCGAGGUGCCGAAGGGAACCGUGAAACGUGCCGCCUGGGAAGUACGGUCGCAAGGCUGAAACUUAAAGGAAUUGGCGGGGAGCACCACAACAGGUGGAGCCUGCGGUUUAAUUGGACUCAACGCCGGGAAGCUCACCGGAUAGGACAGCAGAAUGAUUGCCGGGCUGAAGACCCUGCAUGACUAGCUG